CAGCCGCCGCGGUAAUACGAAGGGUGCAAGCGUUACUCGGAAUUACUGGGCGUAAAGCGUGCGUAGGUGGUUGUUUAAGUCUGCUGUGAAAGCCCUGGGCUCAACCUGGGAAUUGCAGUGGAUACUGGGCGACUAGAGUAAGGUAGAGGAUAGUGGAAUUUCCGGUGUAGCAGUGAAAUGCGUAGAGAUCGGAAGGAACAUCUGUGGCGAAGGCGACUAUCUGGGCCAUUACUGACACUGAGGUGCGAAAGCGUGGGGAGCAAACAGGAUUAGAUACCCGCGUAGUCCCUGUCUCUUAUAC
RNAcentral lists this ribosomal RNA (301 nucleotides) under uncultured bacterium. RNAcentral describes it as "partial 16S ribosomal RNA". It matches the Rfam family "Bacterial small subunit ribosomal RNA", at positions 509 to 807 of the family's 1533-position model. The record is from RNAcentral.